Molecule: long non-coding RNA, 1260 nt
Organism: Erigeron canadensis
Lineage: Eukaryota; Viridiplantae; Streptophyta; Magnoliopsida; Asterales; Asteraceae
Exons: 6
Source: RefSeq, a predicted model, not a curated record
CAAAAACAACCACGCAUUAAUAUAAUAUCUCUCAUCUUUGGGUUUAUAACAUUAUGUGUGGUUAAUUGAUUAGAACAAUAGAUAUAAAUUUCAGGGUUUGAUGACAAUAGAUAUAACCGGAAUGCAAGUGUUUGGAGUUAAUUCAUUAUUUUAGAGGUAAAAUCAAGCUUCAAGAAUGCAGCACCUUUAAGUGUUUUUAUAGUUUUUGUAACAAAGAAGAAAAAAGUGAUAGCUAAAUGUAUUGCCCCUGUGCAAGAGUAAUACAGAGACCAGAAGCAGCUUCACAUCUCAUUAGCUUGAAAACAUUGGCUAGAAACGAAAAUAAAGAUCGCUAAAAGUUAGUGUUUAUAAGGUACAAUAAAGACUGACGUCUAUGCAUUUGGUGCUGUUCUUUUUUAGUUGAUAUCAGGAAAAGAAGCCAUUACACGAACAAGAGUUGUUAUUAAGAAAAACUCUAAGAGACUGUCGUUGGCAUUCAUUGGGAAUUGGAUAGGACUCCUGGAGAGAUUUUUAUGAAACUUAAAGAAGUCAGGAAUAAGAUCGUGUAAGUGUAUAGCGGGAGGAUCCAUUGCCAUCUCAAAACAAGAAAUUCUGGAUAUGGACGAGUGAAAGCUACAUGGCUGUUUACUGUGCUGAAGUGCUUGAGUUGUAAGGAAAUGCUAGCGAAGAUUUGAAAGUGAAGAGCAUCACUCCGAGGCACUUGCGAUUAGUAAUUUGUGGUGAUGAAGAACUUGACACAGGGUUGUAAGGGAUGUCAUUCGCAGAGUAAACAACCAAUAAAGUAAGUCAAAGUCCAACUAUAAGAACAAAGAAGAUAAAGUUUAAAGUGUUAACGUACAGGUUGCUUUAUUUAAACAAAAAACUUACUUAUUGGGUUUUAAAUUCUAAUGAUUUUAGUACAUCAACUAUAAGAACAAAGAAGAUAAAGUUUAAAAUGUUAAGGUACAGGUUGGUUACCGGUGAAAAGAAGAUAAGUUUGGAGGCCGGGAUUGUGAAAAAAAUUUACAGCGUAAUGGUGUAGAAAAGAUAAGAGGUACUGUUAUGAUUUGCAGGCUAAUGGUUUACCUUUUAUUUUCGCAUAAGCAAAUCCAUGGCUUAAUUAUGUCUUUACAUUUGUGUAUAUAUGUUGCUUUAUGAUCUAAACAUAUGGGUUAUUUGUUUUGUAUAUAUAUGUUGCUUCAUGCUUCAAAUUUCUCUUUGCUAUGUAAAAAGAUGGUCACACAAUGGUCAGUAAAAAAAUUUCUUUUAUUUUGCUUUCAA